UGAAAGGAGACCUGCCAUUCAGCUUCCAUAGCCAUGCUAGCAGGAGGAUGAGAAUGAAUUGUGGUUACCUUUCCUUUCUGGAGCGGGGUGGUAUCAUAAUUUACUAGUAGUACCUAAAACCCAUAAGGAUCCAAUGUCAGUGUUUAUAUGGUCAAGCAAGUGAACUUGUGUUGUCGUUACUAGUGAAUUUGUUUGUCGGUGGUAUCAUAAUUUCUACUAGUAGUACCUAAAACCCGUAAGGAUCCUUUACCAGCUGGUGGAGUACUGUUUAUAGGUAUAUGAGUUUGUCAGAAACUUUGGACAAAUGGAACAAAAGAAAAUUAGCAAUAUGUUGAUGUGUACUCGAUAUGUGUGGUACAUUUCUAAUGGGUUCUUCGCCUUUGCUCUCUUCUGAAGAAGUGGAGAUGACACAUGAGUUCAGUUUAGUCACAUAGGCGCACUUUGCCGCAUUGUUGAAAUUUGAGCCAUUCAAAUAUUUUUUAAAUUCAAUGAAAUUUGAGCUUUUUAAAUCCAAUGAAAUUUGAGCUAUUCAAAUAAGAGGUCACACGGGAUCCCGUGAGACUUGACGGUGGUCACCCUCUGCCGUGGCUCACUGCUUGAGGGUUCGGCUAGCCUUCAGUUGCACUUUCUUGUUGGCCAACGAUGACAUCGAUCAUCAACCUUCAUACUUUUACGGUUGUGCAUCGGAGGCCAGGGGUGAUCCUCUUUUUCUCAGAGAAAAUCCUCCUACACUUACCAUCAUUGGCAAUUGCUUGCAAGAACCUAAUUGCAAGUCUUAAAACAGUUAAUGUGUGUGUGUUGAUGGUAACACCUUGUGGAUAUUUUUACAGCUGGUGAAGAAGAUGGAACAGUGAAAGGAGAAUGUCAACGCCAAUAAGGGUGAUGCCCUGCUGCGGUAGCUGCAUUUGGUGAACGGUGACCCUCCAUUCAACUUCCAUAGCCUUGCUGGCUGGAGGAGGAGGACUUGAAUCUGGUUGUCUUGUGUGUUUGAUGCAACUGCAACGACAAUUGUGGUGUCGAUAGUAGUUACCUUUUCUUUUCAAAGCGGGGGGAUAUAUUAAUUUACUAGUGGUACCUAAAACCCAUAAGGACCCAAACAUCAGUGUUUAUCUGGUCAAGCAAGUGAACUUGUCUUGUUGUUCCUGUUUAUAGGUGAUGAUGGGUUUGUCAAAAACUUCAAACAAAUGGAACGAAAGAAAAUUAGCAAUCUGUUGAUGUGUACUCCGAAAGUCCCUUCCUACUUCGGAGCUCAUUUGAGCUCGGGAUUAACAAUAAAUUCAACCAAAAUUUAAAAACUUCAAUAAGUCUGAAUUUUUUUGGGUAUAAACUUUGACAAAUGUUUUGGUGCUUGCAAAUUUCAUCCCGAAAUAACAUUCGUGGAAGUCAUGGCAAAAAAGAACAACACUCCAAAAUGCUUUUGAAAAUAGCAUUUCCGGAGCGUUGACUUUGUUUUUUACCAUGACUUCCAAGGAUGAUAUUUUGGGAUAAAAUAUGCAAGCACUGAGUACAUUUGUCAAAGUUUGAACCCAAAAAAAUUCAGAAUUUUUUGAAUUUUUUACUUUUUUUUGAUUUUACUAUUCAUUAGAGAGCAUAUGAGCUCGGGACUAGAUACUCUGCGUCCACUGUACCCGGUGUGGUCCAUUUCCGGUGUAUGUUGGAGUCAUUGCCUUUUCUAUCUUCUGAAGAAGUGUAGAUAACACACGAGUUGAGUUUAGUCACAUAGAUGCACUUUGUCACGUAAGUGAAAUUUGAGCGACUCAAAUAGUUAUCAAAUCUAGUGAAAAUUCAGCUAUUCAAAUCAGUGGUCACACGAAAUCCCGUGAGAGUUGAUAGUAGUUAGUUUUUCUUUUCGGAACGACAUGGUAUAUAGUCAUUUACUAGUGGUAUCUAAAACCCAUAAGGACCCAAAUGUCAGUGUUUAUCUGGUCAAGCAAGUGAACUUGUGUUGUUGUUAUUGUUUAUAUAUAGGUGAUGAUGGGUUUGUCAGAAAUAUCAAACAAACUGAAGGAAAUAUGCCCUAGAGGCAAUAAUAAAGUUGUUAUUUAUAUUUCCUUAUAUCAUGCUAAAUGUUUAUUAUUCAUGCUAGAAUUGGAUUAACCGGAAACUUAGUACAUGUGUGAAUACAUAGACAAAACAACGUGUCCCUAGUAUGCCUCUACUUGACUAGCUCGUUAAUCGAAGAUGGUUAUUUUUCCUGACCAGAGACAUGUGUUGUCAUUUGAUGAAUGUGAUCACAUCAUUAGAGAAUGAUGUGAUGGACAAGACUCAUCCGUUAGCUUAGCAUAAUGAUCAAUAGGUUUUAUUGCUAUUGCUUUCUUCAUGACUUAUACAUGUUCCUCUGACUAUGAGUUUAUGCAACUCUCGAAUACCGAAGGAACACCUUGUGUGCUAUCAAACGUCACAACGUAACUGGGUGAUUAUAAAGAUGCUCUACAUGUGUCUCCGAAGGUGUUUGUUGGGUUAGCAUAGACCGAGAUUAGGAUUUGUCACUCCGUGUACCGGAGAGAUAUCUCUGGUCCCUCUCGGUAAUGCUCAUCACUAUAAGCCUUGCAAGCAAUGUGACUAAUGAGUUAGUUGUGGGAUGAAGCAUUACGAAACGAGUAAAGAUACUUGCCGGUAACGAGAUUGAACUAGGUAUGAAGAUACCGAUGAUCGAAUCUCGGGCAAGUAACAUACCGAUGACAAAGGGAACAACGUAUGUUGUUGUGCGGUUUGACCGAUAAAGAUCUUCGUAGAAUAUGUAGGGGCCAAUAUGAGCAUCUAGGUUCCACUAUUGAUUAUUGAUCGGAGAUGUGUCUCGAUCAAGUAUACAUAGUUCUUGAACCUGUAGGGUCCGCACGCUUAACGUUUGAUGAUGAUUUGUAUUAUGAGUUAUGUGAUUUGACUACCGAAGUUUGUUCGGAGUCCCAGAUGAGGUCACAGACAUGACGAGGAGUACCAAAAUGGUAGAGAAAUAAAUAUUGAUAUAUUGGACGAUGUUAUUUGGACACCGGAAGAGUUCCGAGAGGUACGGGUAAAAACAGAGUGCCGGAGGGGUUACCGGAACCCCCGGGGAAGCAAUGGGCCAACAUGGGCCAUAGGGGAGAGAGAGAGAGGACAUCCCACAAGUGGGUGGCGCGCGCCGCCCCAUGGGGAAUCCGAAUACGACUAGGGGAGGGGGCACGGCCCCCCUUUCCCUGUUCAUCUCCCUCUCCCUUCCUUCUUCCCCCCUUCCACCAAUGGGAAUUCUAAGUCCUAGUAGGACUCCUCCCUCUUGGCCCGCCCUACAGGGCCGGCCGGCCUCUCCCUCUCCUCCUUUAUAUACGGGGGCAGGGGGCACCCCAAAGCACAACAGACAAUCUCUUAGCCGUGUGCGGUGCCCCCUUCCAUAGUUUAACACCUCGGCCAUAUCAUCGUAGUGCUUAGGCGAAGCCCUGCGCCGGUAACUUCAUCAUCACCGUCGCCACAUCAUCGUACUGAUGGAACUAUCCCUCGUCCUCAACUGGAUCAAGAGCACGAGGGACGUCAUCGUGCUGAACGUGUGCUGAACACGGAUGUGCCGUAUGUUCGGUACUUGGAUCGGUUGGAUCAUGAAGACAUUCAACUACAUCAACCGCGUUACUAAACGCUUCCACUUUCGGUCGACGAGGGUACAUGGACACACUCUCCGUCUCGUGCUAUGCAUCUCCUAGAUAGAUCUUGCGUGAUCGUAGGAAUUCUUUUGAAUUACUACAUUCCCCAACAGUGGUAUCAGAACCAGGUCUAUGCGUAGAUGAUAUGCACAAGUAGAACACAGAGAGCUGUGGGCGAUAAUAGUCAUACUGCUUACCACCAACGUCUUACUUUGAUUCGGCGGUAUUGUUGGAUGAAGCGGCGUGGACCGACAUUACAUGACCGCAUUCAUGAGACUGGUUCUACCGACGUGCUUUGAACAUAGGUGGCUGGCGGUUGUCUGUUUCUCCAACUUUAGUUGAAUCGAUUUUGACUACGGUCGGUCCUUGUUGAAUGUUAAAAUAGCACACUUGACGAAAAAUCGUUGUGGUUUUGAUGUGUAGGUACAAACGGUUCUUGCUAGAAGCUCGUAGUAGCCACAUGAAACUUGCAAAACAAAGUAGAGGACGUCUAACUUGUUUUUGCACGGCUUGUUGUGAUGUGAUAUGGUCAAGACAUGAUGUGAUAUAGAUUGUUGUAUGAGAUGAUCAUGUUUUGUAACAAAGUUAUCGGCAAUUGGCAGGAGCCAUAUGGUUGUCGCUUUAUUGUAUGAAAUGCAAUCGCCAUGUAAUUGCUUUACUUUAUCACUAAGCGGUAGCAAUAGUCGUAGUAACAAUAAUUGGCGAGACAACAACGAUGCUACGAUGGAGAUCAAGGUGUCAAGCCGGUGACGAUGGAGAUCAUGAUGAUGCUUCGGUGACGGAGAUCAUGAGCACAAGAUGAUGGUGUCCAUAUCAUGUCACAUAUUUUGAUUGCAUGUGAUGUUUAUCUUUUAUGCAUCUUACUUUGCUUAGUACGGCGGUAGCAUUAUAAGAUGAUCCCUUACUAAAUUUCAAUGUAUAAGUGUUCUCCUUGAGUAUGCACCGUUGCUACAGUUCAUCGUGCCGAGACACCACGUGAUGAUCGGGUGUGAUAAGCCCUACGUUCAGAUACAACGGGUGCAAGCCAGUUUUGCACGUGCAGAAUUCUCGGCUUAAACUUGACGACCCUAGCAUAUGCAGAUAUGGCCUCGGAACACUGAGACCGAAAGGUCGAACAUGAAUCAUAUAGUAGAUAUGAUCAACAUAGAUAUGUUCACCAUUGAAAACUACUCCAUCUCACGUGAUGAUCGGACAUGGUUUAGUUGAUAUGGAUCACAUGAUCAUUUAGAUGACUAGAGGGAUGUCUAUCUAAGUGGGAGUUCUUUAGUAAUAUGAUUAAUUGAACUUUAAUUUAUUAUAAACUUAGUCCUGAUAGCAUUCGUAACUUAUGUUGUAGAUCAAUAGCUCGCGUUGUAGCUUCCCUGUGCUUUUUGAUAUGUUCCUAGAGAAAACUAAGUUGAAAGAUGAUAGUAGCAACGAUGCAGACUGGGUCCGUGAUAUGAGGUUUAUCCUCAUUGCUCAUAGAAGAAUUAUGUCCUUGAUGCACCGCUAGGUGACAGACCUAUUGCAGGAGCAGAUGCAGACGUUAUGAACUUUUGGCUAGCUCAAUAUGAUGACUACUUGAUAGUUUAGUACACCAUGCUUUACGGCUUAGAACUGGGACUUCAAAAAUGUUUUGAAAUGCCACGGAGCAUAUGAGAUGUUCCAAGAGCUGAAAUUGGUAUUUCAGACUCAUGCCCGUGUCGAGAGGUAUGAGACCUCUAACAAAUACUUCGCCUAAGCGGAUGGAGGAGAAUAACUCAGCUAGUGAGCAUGUGCUCAGAAUGUCUGGGUACUACAAUCGCUUGAAUCAAGUGGGAGUUAAUCUUCCAGAUAAGAUAGUGACUGACAGAGUUCUCUAGUCACCAUCACCAAGUUACUAGAACUUCGUGAUGAAUUAUAAUAUGCAAGGGAUGAAAAGAGCGAUUCUCGAGCUCUUCGUGAUGCUAAAAUCAACAAAGGCAAAAAUCAAGAAAAAUCAUCAAGUGUUGAUGAUUAAACAAGAUCACUAGUUUCAAGAAAAGGGCAAAGGGAAGGAAAGAGAACUUCAAGAAGAAUGGCAAGCAAGUUUUCACUCCCGUGAAGAAGCCCAAAGUUGGACCGAAGCCUGAAACUAAGUGCUUCUACUGCAAAGGAAAUGAUCACUGGAAGCGGAGUUACCCCAAAUAUUUGGUGGAUAAGAAGGAUGGCAAAGUGAACAAAGGUAUAUUUGAUAUACAUGUUAUUGAUGUGUACCUUACUAGUGAUCGUAGUAACCCCUGGUCAUUUGAUACUUGUUCAGUUGCUAAGAUUAGUAACUCGAAACAGGAGUUGCAGAAUAAAUAGAGACUAGUUGAGGGUGAAGUGACGAUGUAUGUUGGAAGUGUUUCCAAGAUUGAUAUGAUCAUCAUCGUACACCACAUAUACUUUUGGAAUUAGAGUUGAACCUAAAUAAAUGUUAUUUGGUGUUUGCGUUAAAGCAUGAAUAUGAUUAGAUCAUGUUUAUUGCAAUAUGAUUAUUCAUUUAAGACAGAGAAUAAUUGUUAUACUAUUUACAUGAAUAAAACCUUCUAUGGUCAUACACCCAAUGUUGAUGGUUUAUUGAAUCUCGGUCGUAGUGAUACAGAUAUUCAUAAUAUUGAUGCCAAAAGAUGCAAAGUUGAUAAUGAAAGAGCAACAUACUUGUGGCACUGCCGUUUAGGUCAUAUUGGUGUAAAGCGCAUGAAGAUACUCCAUGCUGAUGGGCUUUUGGAAUCACUUGAUUAUGAAUCAUUUGAUACUUGCGAACCAUGCCUUAUGGGCAAGAUGACUAAAACUCCAUUCUACGGAACAAUGGAACAAGAUAAUGACUUAUUGGAAAUAAUACAUACCGAUGCAUGUGGUCCGAUGAGUGUUGAGGCUCAUGGCAGGUAUCAUUAUUUUCUGACAUUCACAGAUGGUUUGAGCAGAUAUGGGUAUAUCUACUUAAUGGAAAAAAAGUUUGAAACAUUUGAAAAGUUCAAAGAAUUUCAGAGUGAAGUGGAGAACCAUUGUAACAAGAAAAUAAAGUUUCUAUGAUCUGGUCGUGGAGGUGAAUAUUUGAGUUACGAGUUUGACCUUCAGUUAAAACAAUGUGGAAUAGUUUCACAGCUCACGCCACUUAGAACACCACAGCGUAAUGGUGUGUCCGAACAUCGUAAUCGCACUUUAUUAGAUAUGGUGUGAUCUAUGAUGCCUCUUACCGAUUUGCCACUAUCGUUUUGGGAUUAUGCAUUAGAGACAGCUGCAUUCACGUUAAACAGGGCACCGUGAAAAUCCGUUGAGACGACACCAUAUGAAAUGUGGUUUGGCAACAAACCUAAGCUGUCGUUUCUUAAAGUUUGGGGCUGCGAUGCUUAUGUGAAAAAGCUUCAACCUGAUAAGCUCGAACCCAAAUUAGAGAAAUGCGUCUCCAUAGGAUACCCAAAAGAAAAUGUUGGGUACACCUUCUAUCACAGAUCCGAAAGCAAGAUAUUCGUUACUAAGAAUGGAUCCUUUCUAGAGAAGGAGUUUCUCUCGAAAGAAGUGAGUGGGAGAAAAGUAGAACUUGAUAAGGUAAUUAUACCUUCUCCCGAAUUGGAAAGUACUCCAUCACAGAAAUCAGUUCCAGUGAUUCUUACACCAAUUAGUGAGGAAGCUAAUGAUGAUGAUCAUGAAACUUCAGAUCAAGUUGCUACAGAACCUCGUAGGUGAACCAGAGUAUGGUCCGCACCAGAGUGGUAUGGUAAUCCUAUUCUGGAAGUCAUGUUACUAGACCAUGAUGAACCUAUGAACUAUGAGGAAGCGAUGAUGAGCCCAGAUUCCGCGAAAUGGCUUGAGGCCAUGAAAUCUGAGAUGGGAUCCAUGUAUGAGAACAAAGUGUGGACUUUGGUGGACUUGCCCGAUGAUCGGCAAGCCAUAGAAAAUAAAUGGAUCUUCAAGAGGAAGACGGACACUGAUAGUAGUGUUACUAUCCAUUGUUGAGGAAAUUGGUAAGUGGUAGCUACUCGGUUGGCUUGCGAGUAGGGGAUUAAUAGGAUAAUCGGCCAUUUAAUCAAUUAAUCGGACGAUUUAUUGGUUUAUUGGCUACUCGGUGACCCUACGAGUUGGGGUUAAUCGGCAUGUUAACUGGUUAAUCGGACGAAUUCUUGAACAGGGUUACUAUCUACAAAGCUCGACUUGUCGCAAAAGGUUUUCGACAAGUUCAAGGUGUUGACUACAAUGAGAUUUUCUCAACUGUAGCGAUGCUUAAAUCCGUCCGAAUCAUGUUAGCAAUUGCCAUAUAUUAUGAAAUCUAGCAAAUGGAUGUCAAAACUGCAUUCCUUAAAUGGAUAUUUCUUCAAGAAGUGUUGUAUAUGAUGCAACCUGAAGGUUUUGUCGAACCUAAAGGUACUAAAAAGGUGUGCAAACUCUAGCAAUCCAUCUAUGGACUAUUGCAAGCAUCUCGGAGUUGGAAUAUACUCUUUGAUGAGUUGAUCAAAGCAUAUAGUUUUAUACAGACUUGCGGUGAAGCCUGUAUUUACAAGAAAGUGAGUGGGAGCACUACACCCUUUCUGAUAAGUAUAUGUGAAUGACAUAUUGUUGAUCGGAAAUGAUGUUGAAUUUUCUGGAAAGUAUAAAGGAGAGUUUGAAAGGAGAUUUUCAAAGAAAGACCUCGGUGAAGCUUCUUACAUAUUGGGUAUCAAGAUCUAUAGAGAUAGAUCAAGACGCUUGAUAAGAUUUUUCAAUGAGUACAUACCUUGACAAGAUUUUAAAAGAGUUCAAAAUAGAUCAGUCAAAGAAGGAGUCCUCGCCGAUAUUACAAGGUGUAAAGUUGAGUAAUACACAAAGCCCGACCACGGCAGAAGAUAAAAAGAGAAUGAAAGUCAUUCCCUAUGCCUCAGUCAUAGGUUCUAUAAAGUAUGCCAUGUUAUGUACCAUACCAGUUGUGUGCCUUGCUAUGAGUUUGGCAAGGGGGGUACCAUAGUGAUCCAGGAGUGGAUCACUGUAUAGCGAUCAAAGUUAUCCUUAGUUACGUAAGAGGACUAAGGAAGUAUUUCUCGGUUAUGGAGGUGAUAAAGAGUUCAUCAUAAAGAGUUACAUUGAUGUAAGCUUUACACCAAUCCAGAUGACUCUGAGUCUCAAUCUGGAUACAUAUUGAAAGUGGGAGCAAUUAGCUAGAGUAGCUCCAUGCAGAGCAUUGUAAACAUAGAAUAUUUGCAAAAUACAUAUGUCUCUAAAUUUAGCAGACCCGUUGACUAAACUUCUCUCACAAGCAAAACAUCAUCACACCUUAGUACUCUUUGGGUGUUAAUCACAUAGCGAUGUGAAAUAGAUUAUUGACUCUAGUAAACCCAUUGCUUGUUGGUCACAUGGCGAUGUGAACUAUGGGUGUUAAUCACAUAUAGAUGUGCACUAUUAGUGUUAAAUCACAUGGCGAUGUGAACUAGAUUAUUGCCUCUAGUGCAAGUGGGAGACUGAAGGAAAUAUGCCCUAGAGGCAAUAAUAAAGUUGUUAUUUAUAUUUCCAUAUAUCAUGGUAAAUGUUUAUUAUUCAUGCUAGAAUUGUAUUAACCGGAAACUUAGUACAUGUGUGAAUACAUAGACAAAACAAAGUGUCCCUAGUAUGCCACUACUUGACUAGCUCGUUAAUCAAAGAUGGUUAUGUUUCCUGACCAUAGACAUGUGUUGUCAUUUGAUGAACGGGAUCACAUCAUUAGAGAAUGAUGUGAUGGACAAGACCCGUCCGUUAGCUUAGCAUAAUGAUCAAUAAGUUCUGUUGCUAAUGCUUUCCUCAUGAUUUAUACAUGUUCCUCUGACUAUGAUAUUAUGCAACUCCCGAAUACCGGAGGAACACCUUGUGUGCUAUCAAACGUCACAACGUAACUGAGUGAUUAUAAAGAUGCUCUAUAGGUGUCUCCGAAGGUGUUUGUUGGGUUGACAUAGAUCGAGAUUAGGAUUUGUCACUCCGCGUAUCAGAGAGGUAUCUCUGGGCCCUCUCGAUAAUGCUCAUCACUAUUAGCCUUGCAAGCAAUGUGACUAAUGAGUUAGUUGCGCGAUGAAGCAUUGCGAAACGAGUAAAGAGACUUGUCGGUAAUGAGAUUGAACUAGGUAUGAAGAUACCGACGAUCGAAUCUCGGGAAAGUAACAUACCGAUGACAAACGGAACAACGUGUAUUGUUGUGCGGUUUGAUCGAUAAAGAUCUUCAUAGAAUAUGUAGGAGCCAAUAUGAGCAUCCAGGUUCCACUAUUGGUUAUUGAUCGGAGAUGUGUCUCGAUCAUGUCGACAUAGUUCUCGAACACGUAGGGUCCGCACGCUUAACAUUCGAUGAUGAUUAGUAUUAUGAGUUAUGUGAUUUGAUGACCGAAGUUUGUUUGGAGUCCCGGAUGAGAUCACGGACAUGACGAGGAGUCUCGAAAUGGUCGAGACAUAAAUAAUGAUAUAUUGGACGAUGUUAUUCGGACACCGAAAGAGUUUCGACAGGUACCGGGUAAAAACGGAGUGCCGGAGGGGUUACCAGAACCCCCCGGGGAAGCAAUGGGCCAACAUGCGCCAUAGUGCAGAGAGGGGACAACCCACAAGGGGGUGGUGUGCCCCCCCCAUGGGGAGUCCGAAUAGGACUAGGGGAGGGGGCGCGACCCCCCUUUCCCUAUCCCUCUCCCUUCCUUCUUCCCCCUUCCACCAAGGGGAAUCCUACUAGGGCUUGGAGUCCUAGUAGGACUCCUCCCUAUUGGCUCGCCCUACAGGGCCGGCCGGCCUCCCCCUAUCCUCCUUUAUAUACGGGGGAAGGGGGCACCCCAAAGCACAACAGACAAUCUCUUAGCUAUGUGCGGUGCCCCCUCCCCAGUUUAACACCUCGAUCAUAACAUCAUAGUGCUUAGGCCAAGCCCUGCGCCGGUAACUUCAUCAUCACCGUCGCCACGCCGUCGUGCUAACGAAACUCUCCCUCGUCCUCAAUUGGAUCGAGAGCACGAGGGACGUUAUCAUGCUGAACGUGUGUUGAACACGGAGGUGCUGUACAUUCGGUACUUGGAUCGGUUGGAUCGUGAAGACGUUCGACUACAUCAACUGCGUUACUAAACGCUUCCGCUUUCGGUCUAUGAGGGUACGUGGACACACUCUCCAUAUGUUGCUAUGCAUCUCCUAGAUAGAUCUUGCGUGAUCGUAGGAAUUUUUUUGAAUUACUACAUUCCCCUACACAAACAAAACAAAGUUUGCAAUAUGUUGAUCUGCACUCGCGCUAUAAUACGAUGCGAUGCAAUGUGUGUGGUCUAUUUCGGAGAUGAGUGUGAGAGUUUUUGUUUUUCCUCUCUUCUCAAGAAGUGGAUAUGACACAUGAGUUGAAUUUAGUCAUGUAGGCGCAAUUUGUCGGUGAAAUUGCGGCUAUUCAAAUAGUUUUUAAAUCCAGUGAAAUUUGAGCUAUUCAAGUCACUGGUCACACGGGAUUCCAUGAGACUUGACGAUGGUCAUCCAUUGCAAUGCUUGGGUAGUCAAUCCCUUUCCUCUCCAUCGCGGCUCACUGCUUGAGGGUCCGACUGACCUUUAGUUGUGCUCCCCGGUUGGCCAACCAUGACGGCGAUCAUCAACCCUCAUACUCUUAUGGUUGUGUGCAUCAGAGGCCAAGAGUGAUCCUCCUUUUCUAAGAAAAAAAAUCCUCCUGCACUCACCAUCACUUGACAAUUGCUUGCAACAACCCAAUUGCUUGUGUUGUUGUUAAAGUUUAUAGGUGAUGAUGGGUUUGUCAGACACUUCAAUUAAAUGGAAAAACAAAAUUAGCAAUAUGUUGAUGUGUACUCGCGCUUUAAUAUGAUGGGAUGCUAUGCGUGUGUUUCAUUUUGGAAGUGUUUGUGGGAGUCUUCGCCUUUGCUCUCUUCUGAAGAAGUCUAGAUGACACACGAAUUGAGUUUAGUCACAUACUCGCACUUUCUCGCGUUUGUGAAAUUUGAGUUAGUCAAAUAGUUUUUAAAUCCAGCGAAGUUUGAGCUAUUCAAAUAAGUGGUCACACGGGGCCCCGUGAGACUGACGGUAGUCACCCAUCACAAUGCUUGGGCAAUCGAUUCGCUUUCUCCUCUACCGCGGCUCACUGGUUGUGGGUUCGGCUGGCCUUCAGGCGCUCCCUGGUUGGCUAAACAUGACAGCGAUCAUCAACCCGCAUACUCAUAUGACUAUGUGCAUUGGAGGACAGGGGUGAUCAUCCAUUUCUAAGAAAAAAAAACCUCCUACACUUACCAUCAUUUGGAAAUUGCUUGCAACAACCUAUUUGAAAAAUCUACAAACAAUAAAUGUGUGUGUGCUGAUGGUAACAUCUUGUGGCCUUGAUAUAUUUUUACAUCUGGUGGAGAAGAUGAUGGAAUAGUCCAAGGAUAAUGUCAACGCCAAGAAGCGUGGCACCAUGUCAGGGCACUGCAGCAACUGCAUCUAGUGACUGGUGAUCCACCUUUAAACUUCCAUAGUUGUACUGGCAGGAGGACGAGGAGGACUUUCAUUCUGGACAUUUUGUGUGUUUGAUGCGACCGCAACGACAACUGCAGUUUUGAUAGUAGUUACCAUUUCUCUUCUGAGCAGGAUGGUAUAGUAAUUUACUAGUAGUGCGUAAAACCCACAAGGACCCAAAUGUCAAUGUUUAUCUGGUCAAGCAAGUGAACUUGAGUUGUUGUUAUUGUUUACAGGUGAUGAUGGGUUUGUCAGAAACAUCAGACAAACGGAAUAAAAGAAAAUUAGUAAUAUCUUGAUAUGUACUCGCAUUUUAAUAUGAUGCGAUGCUAUGUGUGUGGUCCAUUUCGGAUGUAUGUGUGGGAGUCUUCACCUUUGCUCUCUUCUCAAGAAGUGGAGAUGACACUCGAGUUUAUUUUAGUCACGUAGGUGCACUUUGCCGCAUCAGUGAAAUUUGAGCUAUCAAAUAGUUUUUAAAUCAUGUGAAAUUUGAGGUAUUCAAAUCAGUGGUUAAAUAGGAUCCCAUGAGACUAGACGAUGGUCACCCAUUGCAAUGCUUGGGUAGUCGAUCCUCUUUCCUCUCCGUCGCGGCUUGCUACUUGAGGGUCCGGCUAGCCUUUAGUUGGGCUCCCUCAUGAGCCAACCAUGACUGCAAGCAUCAACCUCGUACUCUUAUGGUUGUGUGUAUAGGAGGCCAGGGUGAUCCUCCUUUUUUUGUUAAAAGCCCUUUUACACCUACCAUCAUUUGCCAGUUACUUGCAAUAACCUAAUUGCCAAGUCUUAAAAUCAUUAAUGUGAGUGUGCUGAUGGUAACACCAUGUGGUUGUGAUUUUAUUACAAUGAGGGGACAACACGAUGGAAUAUUCCAUGGUAAAAUUCAAUGCACACAAUUUUCAUGGUAACACCCUGUGGUCGUGAUUUUCUAAUCCUCCAAUUUUCUAUUGAUUUUCCUCUCAUGGAAGGUACAUAUAUAUGGUUUACAAGUUUUUUGAUCUCACAUGGAUCUUUCCUACUAACAUCGUCCCAGGAGGCUAUAGGUGAUGGUAUAAAAAGAAGAUUCUCAUCCACAUAGCCCAACACCGAAGGUAAUUAGUCUAUGCACACAGUUACUUCAUCUGCAUGCUUUAUUCACAUGUCUUUGGCAACUAUCUGUGACAUUAAAUUAAUUCCUAGUUUACGUUUGUGUGUCCUAUUUUACAUAGAUUCAAUUGCUAUUUCCUUGAUACAACCCAAAUUUUUUUAUUUGCUCCUGAUUUUGUGACUACACAUGACAACUUUUGUUGUGCACAUAUGGAUUUUGUGUUAUUACCUAUGAGACACAUUUCACUUUUUUCGUGUUAAUUUUUUGCUAUGGAACACAAUGUCAUUCUCUAUAUAUGCAUGCCUACCAACUUAUUCCUGAUUGUUUUGGUCACAGAUAUAUUUCGACAUUUUUGUAGUGUCAUUAGACGGUAUUUUUUUACAUUCUCCCAUAUGUGCAUGCUAUAAAUUUAUCUCAUGACACUCCUUUGCAAAGGGGUGGCGAUUUUUUCUCUCUUGAGGUGUGGAUACACAUUUCUUGAGUGAAAACUUUGUUGUUCAUAAAUGGAUUUACAUAUUUCUUUGGCGUGUGGCAAGUUUGCUUUACUUAACUCUAUAGGGCCAAGCUCCACAGCCAAACUUUUCUUUCACGCCCCAUGAUUUUGCUGAUUUUUCACGCACACCCUCUCGACUUUUGCAUUUUAUUUUUCUUGCAGCUACUCCAUGUUAACAACUUAGACAUUGGACAUCAAUGACUUGAAAUAAAUAUAUCAUGUGAACCUUUCGUUGAUAGUAGUUACCAUUUCUUUUCGGAGCGGGAUGGUAUAGUAAUUUAUUAUUUGUACCUAAAACCCCAAAUGUUGGUAUUUAUCUGGUCAAGCAAGUGAGCUUGAGUUGUUUUUAUUGUAUAUAGGUGAUGAUGGGUUUAUUAGAAACUUCAGACAAACGAAAUAAAUGAAAAUUAGUAAUAUGUUGAUGUGUACUCGUGUUUUAAAUUGAUGCGAUGAUAUGUGUGUGGUCCAUUAUGAAGUGUGUGUGUGUGUGUGGGGGAUAUUCACCUUUGCUCUCUUCUGAAGAGGUGCAGAUGACACUCGAGUUGAGUUUAGUCACAUAGCCGCACUUUGCCGCACUGGUGAAAUUUGAGCUAUCAAAUAGUUUUAAAUCUAGUGAAAUUUGAGGUAUUCAAAUGAGUGGUUAUGCGGGAUCCCGUGAGACUAGACGAUGGUCACCCAUUGCAAUGCUUGGGUAGUCGAUCCCCUUUCCCCUCCAUUGCGGCUCGCUGCUUGAGGGUCCCGCUAGCCUUAAGUGGGGCUCCUUGCUUUCCCAACCAUGACCGCGAUCAUCAACCCUCGUACUCUUAUGGCUGUGUAUCAAAGGCCAGGGUGAUCCUCCUUUUCUCAGAAAAAACCCUUCUACAAUUACCAUCAUUUGCCAAUUACUUGCAACAACCUAAUUGCCAAGUCUUAGAACAGUUAAUGUGAUUGUGCUAAUGGUAACACCCUGUGGUCGUGAGUUUAUUACAGCUGGGGGACAACAUGAUGGAGUAUUCCACGGUAAAAGUCAAUGCACACAAUUUACAAGGUAACACCAUGUGGUCAUGAUUUUCUAAUCCUCCAAUUUUAUAUUGAUUUUCCUCUCAUAGAAGGGACAUAUAUAUGGCUUACAAGUUUUUUGAUCUCACAUGAAUAUUUCCUACUAACAUCGUCGGAGGGGGGCAAUAGGUGAUGGUAAACAAAGAAGGUAUAUUCUCAUCCACAUAGCCCAACGCCAAAGGUAAGUAGUUGAAGCACACAAUUACUUCAUCCGCAUGCUUUAUUCACAUGUCUUUGGUAACUAUUUGUGACACUAAAUUAAUUCCUAGUUCACUUAUGUGUAUCCUAUUUUACAUAGAUUCCAUGGCAAUAUCCUUGGUACACCCCAACAAUUUUUAUUUGCCCCUGAUUUUGUGACUACACAACAUAUAUGUCAACUUUUUUAUCCACAUAUAUAUGGAUUUAGUGUUACCUGUGAGUCAUGUUUAACUUUUUUUGUGCUAAAUUUUUGCUAUGAAACACAAUGUCAUUCUCUACAUAUGCAUGCAUAGCAACUUAUUCCUGAUUUUUUUGGUCACGCAAUAUCUUUCAAAAUAGUGUCCUUAUAUGGUAUUUCUUUUUACAUUCUCCCAUCUAUGCAUAUUGUAAACUUAACUCGUGGCAACCCUUUUCAAAGGGGUCGCACUUUUUUCUCUCUUGAGGUGUGGAUACACAUUUCUUGAAUGACAACUUUGUUGUUCAUAAUGGAUUUACAUAUCUCUUUCGCGUGUGGCAUGUUUGUUUACUUAACACUAUAGGGAAAAGCUCCACAGCCAAACUUUUUUUCACGGCCCAUGAUUUUGCUGAUUUUUCACACACGCCCUCUCCACUUUUGCAUUUCUUUGUCAUUUGCAGCUACUUCAUGGUAACAACUUAGACAUUGGACAUCAAUGGCUUGAAAUAAAUAUAUCCUGUGAACCUUUCCUUCAUAGUAGAUACCAUUUCUUUUCGGAGCGGGAUGGUAUAGUAAUUUUAGUACCUAAAACCCGUAAGGAACCAAAUGUCAGUGUUUAUCUAGUCAAGUAAGUGAAUUUGAGUUGUUGUUAUUGUUUAUAGGUGAUGAUAGGUUUGUCAGAAACUGCAGACAAAUGGAAUAAAAUAAAAUUAGUAAUAUGUUGAUGUGUACUCGCAUUUUAAUAUGAUGUGAUGGUAUGUGUUUGGUCCAUUUCGGAUGUGUGUGGGAGUCUUCACCUUUGCUCUCUUCUGAAGAAGUGGAGAUGGCACUUGAGUUGAGUUUAGUCACGUAGGCGCACUUUGUCGCACCGGUGAAAGUUGAGCUAUCAAAUAGUUUUGAAAUCUAGUGAAAUUUUGAGGUUUUCAAAUCAGUUGUUAUGGGGGAUCCCGUGAGACUAGAUGAUGGUCACCCAUCGCAAUGCUUGGGUAGUCGAUCCCCUGUCCCCUCCAUCGCGGCUCGCUGCUUGAGGGUCCGGUUUUCCUUCAAUUGGGCUCCUUGGUUAGCCAACCAUGACUGUGAUCAUCAAUAGUCGUACUCUUAUGACUAUAUGUAUCGGAGGCCAGGGUGAUCCUCCUUUUCUCAGAGCAAACCCUUCUACACUUACCAUCAUUUGCCAAUUAGUUGCAACAACCUAAUUCCCAUGUCUUAAAACAAUUAAUGUGAGUGUGCAUAUGCUAAAACCAUGUGGUCGUGAUUUUAUUACAGCCUGGGGACAAGAUGAUGGAAUAUUAAAUGGUAAAAGUCAAUGCCAAGAACGAUGGUGCCCUCUCGCGGCAUUGCAGGAGCUGCAUCUGGUUAAGGAUGACCCGCCAUUCAGCUUUUAUAACCGUGCCGGAAGGACGAUCAGCAGGACUAACAUUCUGGUCAUUUUUUGUGUUUGAUGCAACUGCACUAACAGUUCUCGUGUCGAUAGUAGUUACCUUUUCUUUUCGGAGUGGGAUUGUAUACUAAUUUACUAAUAGUACCUAAAACUUGUAAGGAGACGCUGGAGCAGUUCCUUGUCAAGGUCGGCGUGGUCCGAGGAUCUAGCACCGGCGGCCAGGCACCUGUGCCAGUCGGCUUAGUCCAUGGACAGAUGAACCCCGCGCAGCAGGAGCACCAGCUUGGCCGAAUGAUGUACCCGAUGGCACUAGCCAACAUCAUGUUCCAGGUGAUGGGCGACGACAUGGGGUUUGUCCCCAACGGGUACGUAGUGAUUUUCGUGGUGCCGCCAUCACCACCUCGUCAAGGCAGUGUGGGUAUUGUGAGCCACGGGUUGUCGGACGGGAGGAGCGCCAUGACUAAAGCUGACAUGAUGAACUACAUGGGCGACAGAGCGAUGAUGGAGAACGGCGGCGCCCGGAAACACGGUGCCCCGGAUGAUCAGUCCUGCAAGAGGAGUAUCGAGCGUUGCCACCGCCGCAUGAUCAAGAACCGCGAGUCAGCCACACGAUCGUGUGCCAGGAAGCAGGUACUUACCUUGCUGCCAAAAUUGUUGGUUUUUAUGCAAUGCCAUUUCUGCAACGGUGGUAACAAUGUUGGUGACACUUGCAGUCUCUGUCUUUCUCAAUCCUACAGGCUUAUACCGUGGAGCUUGAAGCUGAACUGAACCACCUCAAGGAGGAGAAUGCACGUCUGAAAGCUGAGGAGGUACGGAGCUGCAGACCAGUGAAAACCAUGAGAAAAUUCAGUUUUCAUGUUCUUUUGAGUUCUUACCGUUACUAAACUGUUUCAUUGUUUUGUUGCAGAAGACAAUUCUGCUGACCAAGAAAAAAAAUGGUAUGUACAUUUUCCCACCAUCACCUGGAACACUCGCUACCACUUGCCAAUUGCUUCUACCAAUCUAAUUUGUAAGUCUUAAAGCAGUUAAUGUGUGUGUGCUGAUGAAAACACCUUGUGGCCAUGAUCUUUUUUCUUACAGCUGGUGGAGAAGAUGAUGGAGCAGCCCAAGGAGAACGUGAACGCCAAGAAGGAUGGCGCCUUGUUGCGGCCCUACGGCAGCUGCAUCUGGUGAAAGGUGACCUGCCAUUCAACUUCCAUAGCCGUGCUGGCAAGAGGAUGAGAAUGAAUUGUGGUUACCUUUCCUUUCUGGAGCGGGUGGUAUCAUAAUUUACUAGAAGUACCUAAAACCCGUAAGGAUCCAAUGUCAGUGUUUAUCUGGUCAAGCAAGUGAACUUGUGUUGUUGUUACUAGUAAAUGUGUUUGUCAGUGGUAUCAUAAUUUCUACUAGUAGUACCUAAAACCCGUAAGGAUCCUUUACCAGCUAGUGGAGUACUGUUUAUAUGUAUAUGGGUUUGUCAGAAACUUCGGACAAAUGAAAGCUGAGGUGGUACGGAGCAGCUGACCAGUGAAAAUCAUGAGAAAAUUCAGUUUUCAUAUUCUUUUUCAGUUCUUACCAUUACUAAACGGUUUCAUUGUUUUGUUUGCAGAAGAAAAU
Molecule: long non-coding RNA, 17940 nt
Filed under: Triticum aestivum (bread wheat)
Lineage: Eukaryota; Viridiplantae; Streptophyta; Magnoliopsida; Poales; Poaceae
Description: long non-coding RNA (TAES_LNC027742)
Source: RNAcentral